Eurytemora carolleeae is the source of this 168-nucleotide long non-coding RNA. RefSeq lists it as uncharacterized. NCBI's taxonomy places the organism in Eukaryota, Metazoa, Arthropoda, Copepoda, Calanoida, Temoridae. The record is from RefSeq and is a predicted model, not a curated record. The transcript is spliced from 2 exons.
UUAUAAUAUCGAUACGAAAUUAUUUUUAACUAAUUAUUGUUCAGUUUAUUUCAGAUUAAACUAAGUUCCAUCGUUUCAAGAUAAUUAAAGUGAAAAGGCAGUAAUAAAAAUGGCAACUAGCAGAGCCCGUGCGUUGACCGUCUCCAACCUGGAUAAUAUGAUGGAGAA